This 465-nucleotide ribosomal RNA is filed under the name uncultured bacterium. RNAcentral's name for it is "partial 16S ribosomal RNA". It matches the Rfam family "Bacterial small subunit ribosomal RNA", at positions 28 to 507 of the family's 1533-position model. The record is from RNAcentral.
GACGAACGCUGGCGGCGUGCUUAACACAUGCAAGUCGAACGGAAAGGCCCUUUCGGGGGUCCUCGAGUGGCGAACGGGUGAGUAACACGUGAGUAACCUGCCCUCGACUUCGGGAUAACUUCAGGAAACUGGGGCUAAUACCGGAUAGGAAUCCUUGCUGCAUGGUGGGGGUUGGAAAGCUUCGGCGGUUUUGGAUGGACUCGCGGCUUAUCAGCUUGUUGGUGGGGUAGUGGCUUACCAAGGCGUUGACGGGUAGCCGGCCUGAGAGGGCGACCGGCCACAUUGGGACUGAGAUACGGCCCAGACUCCUACGGGAGGCAGCAGUGGGGAAUAUUGCACAAUGGGCGGAAGCCUGAUGCAGCAACGCCGCGUGCGGGAGGACGGCCUUCGGGUUGUAAACCGCUUUCAGCAGGGGCGAAGCUUGUGGUGACGGUACCUGCAGAAGAAGCACCGGCUAACUACGUG